This 253-nucleotide ribosomal RNA is filed under the name uncultured bacterium. RNAcentral describes it as "partial 16S ribosomal RNA". It matches the Rfam family "Bacterial small subunit ribosomal RNA", at positions 524 to 776 of the family's 1533-position model. The record is from RNAcentral.
UACAGGGGGGGCAAGCGUUGUUCGGAAUUACUGGGCGUAAAGGGUUCGUAGGUGGCCAACUUAGUCAGACGUGAAAUCCCUCAGCUUAACUGGGGAACUGCGUCUGAUACUGGAUGGCUUGAGUGCAGGAGAGGAACGCGGAAUUCCAGGUGUAGCGGUGAAAUGCGUAGAUAUCUGGAGGAACACCGGUGGCGAAGGCGGCAUCCUGGACCGACAUUGACGCUGAGGCGCGAAAGCUAGGGGAGCAAACGGG